UGGGGAAUAUUGGGCAAUGGGCGAAAGCCUGACCCAGCAACGCCGCGUGAGGGAAGAAGGGUUUCGGCUCGUAAACCUCUGUCCUAUGGGACGAAGGAAGUGACGGUACCAUAGGAGGAAGCCCCGGCUAACUACGUGCCAGCAGCCGCGGUAAUACGUAGGGGGCGAGCGUUGUCCGGAAUGAUUGGGGCGUAAAGGGGCGCGUAGGCGGCCUGUUAAGUCUGGAGUGAAAGUCCUGCUUUCAAGGUGGGAAUUGCUUUGGAUACUGAUGGGCUGGAGUGCAGGAGAGGAAAGCGGAAUUACCGGUGUAGCGGUGAAAUGCGUAGAGAUCGGUAGGAACACCAGUGGCGAAGGCGGCUUUCUGGACUGAAACUGACGCUGAGGCGCGAAAGCGUGGGGAGCAAACAGGAUUAGAUACCC
This 420-nucleotide ribosomal RNA is filed under the name uncultured bacterium. RNAcentral's name for it is "bacterial SSU rRNA". It matches the Rfam family "Bacterial small subunit ribosomal RNA", at positions 355 to 787 of the family's 1533-position model. The record is from RNAcentral.